Molecule: long non-coding RNA, 1061 nt
Filed under: Homo sapiens (human)
Lineage: Eukaryota; Metazoa; Chordata; Mammalia; Primates; Hominidae
Description: HSALNT0322908
Source: RNAcentral
CAGGUGCGCCGGGGACUUAGGCAGUGCCGCGCCGCACGGCCCGCGCCGGUUUCCAAGGUGAAGGAGGAGGAGCCUCUGAGGGAAAGUUUCCACAGAAACUUGAGCUGGGCGCAGUGUAGCACUCGCGCCCUUGGGGGCUAGCGUUUGGCCGGAGCUACACACUCUUUACUCACGCACGCACACCGCCGUACACAGCACAAUCGUUCACCGUCCCGCCAAAGGCUCGUCUCUCGGGUUCUGCCUAGUGGAAGGAGUCGGACAACGCCGCACGUCACGGGCGUUUCGGAUUUCUUGCUUCCCAAAGGUUUGACGGCGGCCACCGGCGCCCCGGCCCAGCUCUGCUUUCCUUUGCUGACUCCUUCCUUUAGCUGUCUACCACCACUGCUGCGCUUGUGGAUGACUGCAGGAACACCGGGUACUUGCCACAAGUAUCUCUCCAGAUUCAUCAGCCUUUCACCUGUGACAAGCUCAGUCAAGAAGUGGCUCCUAAGUAAAAGCUGGGGAAGAACAAGGAAGAUAGAGCUCAGAGUAGAAAGCUGUGAAGUUCUGCACAACAGGUCCCCUUGGCCUGCUCUAACAGUUGGAAGACAGGCAUGGUAGCUCAUGUGGAAGCUUCCCGAGGCCCUCACCCAGAAGCAGAUGCUGGAGCCAUGCUUGUACAGCUUGCAGAACUAAAGCCCAGCUGGCUUGGUUCCAUGAAUCUUUGCCCUUCUUUCCAUCCACUUCUUCCUGCUUGGACAUUGGUUACCUGGAGAAGCAGAAGCCAUUUUAAGAUGAUGAAAGCAAAAGUUAAAUGUAUGAGAUGAUGGUGCAGAAAGCCAAAAGGGGCCUCCAGAACACUGAGCUUUGUGGAGUCGUGUACCAUAGCUGUAUUGCCGACCUCUGAACUUCCUGCUGAGAUAAAAAACAAUCCUUAUGUGUUUAUACUACUUUUAUUUCAGUUUCUUUUAAGUAUAGCAAACACAUUCCAAAUAAUAUGCAUCUGAAGUUUUUGGUUUUGUUUUUAAAUUUUUUUUUUAGGGAUGGGUUCUGGCUGCGUAGUGGCUAGAGUGUAGUGGCUA